CCCCAUGGAUCUAGGUGAGGACAGGCGCUCCUGCUUUCCCGCCCAAAUGUUGUAUUUUCCAAGCCUACCCUUGCCGGCCACGCCCCCAACCUGGGCCUAUAAAAACCGCCCCCCGCAGGCCCUAGCGGGCAGACACACUGAAGUCGCUAGACAUUUGAGGAACACAUCCGGGGAAGAAGACACAGGUGGCUGGUCAUGGAGAGCCCGCUGGGGGAAGAGCACACAGACAGGCACCGGCAGGCCAUUGACCAGCGGGACAAGGUGGGCUCAAUGUCAUCACAAGGGUGCUUAAGAGGGAAAGAGGAAGCCAUGAGGGUCAGAGUCAAAGGAAGACUUGAAGAUACUACACUGCGGACUUUAAAGAUGAAGGAAGGGGCGAAAACCAAGAAUGUGGGAAGCCUCUAGAAGCUAGAGAAGGCAAGGAAACAAAUUUUCCACUAGAGCCUCCAGAAGGAACACAGCCCUGCUGACCCACUGUAAUGUCUGACCUCUAGAUGUGUAAGGGUAGUAAGACUGAAAGUCUCAGAAAGGCACUGUUAAAUUCUUAUUCCUCAACUAUGCAACUCAAAACUGGGGUCCUCAGCAGUGAGCGAGGGGUGAGAGAAGACACUGUAUAAACAUGGCACAUCCUCCUGGAAAGUCAACUUUACUCAAAGGUUCUUACACACAGUGACAGCUAGCAGAGUCUAAAAUGCUGACAUUAUGACUUAGAGAUGUGAUAAAGAGAAACAUCUAUUGCAUUUUCUGUAAGUAAAUGUGGUGCCGGCAUUGAGAGAACAUACGUAAUCAGAUACCUGUUCUCCCUGAGUUUCUUAAUUUAAGCCUCGCGAUUCCUAAUUAGCAGUUAGAUUGCAUCCAUUGUUAUUUUGUCUUUGGUUAUCAAUGAUGAUCAACCUUUGCUAAACAAAGAUAUGUCAUCAUGCUGGGGACACUCAUGGAUUUUUUUUUAAAGGUUUUAACAUUUGAUAAUAGGUUUUCCAAUAGCUUGAAGGGUAGCUUUUAACAUUUCUUUUCCAGCUGAAGUAUUUCCUGAGUUCUGUCCAAGCCCUCUGUAGUUAAAGAAAAGGCUUUUUGACACUGAAUAGACAAUGUUGUGGCUUUUUUUUUCCUUCUUCAGACAAAUGUAUAGGCAUUUAGACCGCCACGUUGUACUCUCGUAAUUGAGAUACCUUGCAGAAAUGGCAAUUAAGGGUGACUCGUGUCAAAAAUAUUCAGGACAAAUUACAUUUUACUGAUUUUUAAAAACUUUCAAAGGUACUCUCUCCUCUUUCUUUCUCCUUUCUCUCUUCCUGCCUCCCUCCCACCCGCUCCUCGUUUUUUCUUUUAAAUAUUAAGUAAACUAUUUGCAUUUUUACGUCUCAUCAAAGUUGUUCCAGGUUUUUUCUGGGUUUACUGAAACUCCAAAUCGACUACUCAGAUCAAAACAAUUAGUGAAGUCUAAGGUAUUCUUAAUUCCUGAAAUGAAAACAGAAUGGACGUUCGGGACGUUCUGUUUUGCUCUGGCUACCCGCUUGGCUUCUCGCUCAGAAUAUUCUUGCUCUCAAGUUAGUUCCAGUUCUGUUUAUUUUGUCCUGAGCUCAGUGAACUUUCCAAAGCCCUACUCUUCAAACAACACUUUUUUUCCCCCGCCCCGUGAGCUGGAGUUUAUUUUGUGCUCACCCUUCAUUCUGUGAGUUGUGAAUAAUUUUAACACAAAGAAAAAAAAAUCUCCUCCUGACCACGGAGAGAAGAGGGGAUUUUAGAAUAAAGAUAAAAAUUGCUGUUUUAGCCCCCAAAGCAAAGGACUUGGGAAAGAAGAGAAAAGGGGGGAAAAUAGAACAGCAAAGGAAAAAAAAAAAAAAAAAAAA
Molecule: long non-coding RNA, 1847 nt
Filed under: Homo sapiens (human)
Lineage: Eukaryota; Metazoa; Chordata; Mammalia; Primates; Hominidae
Description: survival associated mitochondrial melanoma specific oncogenic non-coding RNA
Source: RNAcentral